ACGGUCCCGGGUCUGGGAUCGCUGCAGAGCCACGUCCAGCUGAGUGUGGUUGUUUUACAGAAAAAAAAGGAUGGUUUUGGGAAAGCUUGGGGCUCUGGGAAUCGGGGGAGCUGGUGGUGCUUUGCCAGAGGCUCCUCUGAGCUGCUCUUUGGGUUCCAGGGUUUCUCUCAUGGAAUCACGGGAUGGAUGAGGCUGGACGGGACCACAGGAGGUCACCCAGUCCCACCCUGUGCUCACAGAGGGUCCCCUCGAGCGCAGAACUCCGGGCUGUGUCCGGCUGGGGACAGGGACAGGGACAGGGACAGGCACAACCUGCGCUGCUCUGGAGGUGGCGAUGAAGGAUGUGAGGGACAGACGAGGCUGGGAGAGCCUUGAGACCCUCCUGGAACAUUCCAGAAGCCGUGGUGAGCUUUGGGAAGGGCCGGGGCACAGCACCUGCAGCCCCGGAUCUCAAUAAGCUGUGAAGCAAAAGCCUUUUGUGCACAUGAACCAAAAAGAGAAGCUUUGACACUGAAACACUUCACGGGCACAACCGGCCCUGGGGGGAAAGCAGGAGCCAGAUCUGAGCCCUGGGAUUUCUCUUUGCCUGUGAUGUAAUGGAUCAUUCCCAUGUGGAACAUCCUGCAGCAGGGGACAUGGGGACAGGGCUGGACCCGCCACUGCUCCUCCUCGGGGAGGUUUGUGGAGGGAUCAGAGCCCUGAGGGCUCCCUCUGGGAGGGUCCUGGGCCUCCCUGAGCCUGCAGAGCUGCGCAGGGAUGUCACCCCCUGUGAUUCCUGUCCCCUUGUCCAGCUGGGAGCUCCAGUUCCACGCUCAGCCCCGUGUUGGGAGCUCCGGGGCGGUCACUCCGUGCCUGGUUCCGUUCCUGCUCCACCUCUGUGGGCAAAACCUGCUCCCUCCUGUCCCUGGUGAGCACAGGGACACCCACCUACCUCCCCUGGGCCGGCCUGAGAUCCAGGUCUCUCAUCAGAGUAAUGAAGCAGAAGGAAGAACAAGAGUUGAAGUUGCUGUCUAACCUUUUCGUUAAGUUAAUCGUAGGUACUGACCUCCUGCUAUUUAAGUGUUUACUAUCUAUUUGCUGUAAAGUUUUGUAUAUUUUGUAAACUUUUCCCCCCCAGAUCGUAGAUGUCUAAAAUCGUUGUACAUCGGGUUCUUUUCUACUCCAUUGUUCAGCACAAAGUGUGGUUUUUAUUUAGAAUAAUAAAAAGGAAAACGUUGA
This is a long non-coding RNA of Neopelma chrysocephalum (saffron-crested tyrant-manakin), 1218 nucleotides long. RefSeq lists it as uncharacterized. The transcript has 2 exons. The record is from RefSeq and is a predicted model, not a curated record. Lineage: Eukaryota; Metazoa; Chordata; Aves; Passeriformes; Pipridae.